UCCGUAGGUGAACCUGCGGAGGGAUCAUUACCGAGUUUACAACUCCCAAACCCCUGUGAACAUACCACUUGUUGCCUCGGCGGAUCAGCCCGCUCCCGGUAAAACGGGACGGCCCGCCAGAGGACCCCUAAACUCUGUUUCUAUAUGUAACUUCUGAGUAAAACCAUAAAUAAAUCAAAACUUUCAACAACGGAUCUCUUGGUUCUGGCAUCGAUGAAGAACGCAGCAAAAUGCGAUAAGUAAUGUGAAUUGCAGAAUUCAGUGAAUCAUCGAAUCUUUGAACGCACAUUGCGCCUGCCAGUAUUCUGGCGGGCAUGCCUGUUCGAGCGUCAUUUCAACCCUCAAGCACAGCUUGGUGUUGGGACUCGCGUUAAUUCGCGUUCCCCAAAUUGAUUGGCGGUCACGUCGAGCUUCCAUAGCGUAGUAGUAAAACCCUCGUUACUGGUAAUCGUCGCGGCCACGCCGUUAAACCCCAACUUCUGAAUGUUGACCCCGGAUCAGGUAGGAAUACCCGCUGAACUUAAGCAUAUCAAUAAGCGGAGGA
This 544-nucleotide ribosomal RNA is filed under the name Fusarium oxysporum f. sp. lilii. RNAcentral's name for it is "eukaryotic LSU rRNA". The stretch from base 179 to 332 matches the Rfam family "5.8S ribosomal RNA". Lineage: Eukaryota; Fungi; Ascomycota; Sordariomycetes; Hypocreales; Nectriaceae. The record is from RNAcentral.